GCGCACCCUCGCUGUGUGUUAUAUGUGUCACACGGGACUGCCGGUCUUAAGCCGGAGGAAGGUGGGGAUGAUGUCAAGUCAGCAUGGCCUUUAUAUCCUGGGCUACACACACGCUACAAUGGCCAACACAAUAGGUUGCUAAGCCGCGAGGUGGCGCCAAUCCAUAAAGUUGGUCUCAGUUCAGAUUGUAGGCUGCAACCCGCCUGCAUGAAGAUGGAGUUGCUAGUAACCGCAGGUCAGCUAUACUGCGGUGAAUACGUUCCCGGGGCUU
RNAcentral lists this ribosomal RNA (271 nucleotides) under uncultured Leptolinea sp. RNAcentral's name for it is "partial 16S ribosomal RNA". It matches the Rfam family "Bacterial small subunit ribosomal RNA", at positions 1096 to 1382 of the family's 1533-position model. The record is from RNAcentral. Lineage: Bacteria; Bacillati; Chloroflexota; Anaerolineae; Anaerolineales; Anaerolineaceae.